RNAcentral lists this ribosomal RNA (115 nucleotides) under Populus tomentosa. The record is from RNAcentral. Lineage: Eukaryota; Viridiplantae; Streptophyta; Magnoliopsida; Malpighiales; Salicaceae.
GCGAUCAUACCAGCACUAAUGCACCGGAUCCCAUCAGAACUUUGCAGUUAAACGUGAUUGGGCGAGGGUUGUACUAGGAUGGGUGACCUCCUGGGAAGUCCUCGUGUUGCACCCC